AUUGAACGCUGUCGGCAGGCCUAACACAUGAAAGUCGAGCGGAGCGGCGGACGGGUGAGUAAUGCCUAGGAAUCUGCCUGGUAGUGGGGGAUAAAGACCGGAAACGGGCGCUAAUACCGCAUUCCAUACGAUAUGCCUAGGCCGGAUGAGCUCGUUGGUGGGGUAAAGGCCUAACAAGGCUACGAACCGUAACUGGUCUGAGAGGAUGAUCAGUCACACUGGAACUGAGACACGGUCCAGACUCCGACGGCAGGAAGCAGUGGGGAAUAUUUGAGAAUGGGCGAAAGCCUGAUCCAGCCAUGCCGCGGGUGAGAAGAAGGUCUUCGGAUUGUAAAGCACUUUAAGUUGAGAGGCGUUACCAACAGAAUAAGCACCGGCUAACUUCGUGCCAGCAGCCGCGGUAAUUC
RNAcentral lists this ribosomal RNA (407 nucleotides) under uncultured bacterium. RNAcentral describes it as "partial 16S ribosomal RNA". It matches the Rfam family "Bacterial small subunit ribosomal RNA", at positions 30 to 526 of the family's 1533-position model. The record is from RNAcentral.